AUAGGGCUGUCUCUUCACUCUYCCACCCGUCAUUGAACAUGUCGUGGUCGGGAUGCUUCCGAUCGGUUGCCUGUGCGGUUCUACCCUCUUGUGGGUAGCGAASUCGUCCCUUGAUGGAUAUWUGCUUGCCCUUGUGACAUUUUUGUGUCGUUYGGGCAGCCGAAAUGUYGGCGAUAUCCUUGUGUUGGCGCGUGGUYGAAUGCYGUGUUGCUAUCACUUGGRUUUUUGCCGGCUCUCACGGAUGCGGUGCCUARMGCUWGCUCUGCGGGACKUUGCCCCGCAGASUUCGGGAGGUCCCUUGUACGAAUCAUUGCUCUUAUACGCCGUCUUGUCGUGCCGCURCCGYGGCACGCAGAUCGUGUUCUUUCGUGCAGUCGUUGACAGCACGAWAGCGAACAUUAGUGUCCGGAGCGUGGYCUUGUGCACGUGGAAUGCCUCUCMGAUCGUAUGAGYAGCGAUUUCCGGUUYGYGUCAC
This 475-nucleotide unclassified non-coding RNA is filed under the name Carex x hosoii. RNAcentral's name for it is "partial miscellaneous RNA". The record is from RNAcentral. Lineage: Eukaryota; Viridiplantae; Streptophyta; Magnoliopsida; Poales; Cyperaceae.